This 432-nucleotide ribosomal RNA is filed under the name Escherichia coli. RNAcentral's name for it is "bacterial SSU rRNA". It matches the Rfam family "Bacterial small subunit ribosomal RNA", at positions 1 to 429 of the family's 1533-position model. The record is from RNAcentral. Lineage: Bacteria; Pseudomonadati; Pseudomonadota; Gammaproteobacteria; Enterobacterales; Enterobacteriaceae.
AAAUUGAAGAGUUUGAUCAUGGCUCAGAUUGAACGCUGGCGGCAGGCCUAACACAUGCAAGUCGAACGGUAACAGGAAGCAGCUUGCUGCUUYGCUGACGAGUGGCGGACGGGUGAGUAAUGUCUGGGAAACUGCCUGAUGGAGGGGGAUAACUACUGGAAACGGUAGCUAAUACCGCAUAACGUCGCAAGACCAAAGAGGGGGACCUUCGGGCCUCUUGCCAUCGGAUGUGCCCAGAUGGGAUUAGCUWGUWGGUGGGGUAACGGCUCACCWAGGCGACGAUCCCUAGCUGGUCUGAGAGGAUAACCAGCCACACUGGAACUGAGACACGGUCCAGACUCCUACGGGAGGCAGCAGUGGGGAAUAUUGCACAAUGGGCGCAAGCCUGAUGCAGCCAUGCCGCGUGUAUGAAGAAGGCCUUCGGGUUGUAAA